GGACGAACGCUGGCGGCGUGCUUAACACAUGCAAGUCGAGCGGUAAGGCCCUUUUGGGGGUACACGAGCGGCGAACGGGUGAGUAACACGUGGGUGACCUGCCUUCAGCUUCGGGAUAAGCUUGGGAAACUGGGUCUAAUACCGGAUAUGACUUGGCCUCGCAUGGGGUUGGGUGGAAAGUUUUUUCGGCUGGAGAUGGGCCCGCGGCCUAUCAGCUUGUUGGUGGGGUGAUGGCCUACCAAGGCGACGACGGGUAGCCGGCCUGAGAGGCGACCGGCCACACUGGGACUGAGAUACGGCCCAGACUCCUACGGGAGGCAGCAGUGGGAAUCUUGCGCAAUGGCGAAGCCUGACGCAGCGACGCCGCGUGGGGGA
Molecule: ribosomal RNA, 375 nt
Filed under: uncultured bacterium
Lineage: Bacteria
Description: bacterial SSU rRNA
Rfam family: Bacterial small subunit ribosomal RNA
Source: RNAcentral